This 96-nucleotide microRNA precursor is filed under the name Nicotiana attenuata. Its description in RNAcentral is "MIR6152 microRNA precursor family". It matches the Rfam family "MIR6152 microRNA precursor family". Lineage: Eukaryota; Viridiplantae; Streptophyta; Magnoliopsida; Solanales; Solanaceae. The record is from Rfam by way of RNAcentral.
UGGACAGAUUAUUGUAUUCGACUGUAUUCACGGCGUGAAACAGGGGAUUACACUGUUUUCAAACGGAAAGUGAAUCAAUUAACAUAAUAGACUCCU